RNAcentral lists this transfer RNA (73 nucleotides) under Caudoviricetes sp. RNAcentral describes it as "tRNA-Met". It matches the Rfam family "tRNA". From Rfam's summary of the family: Transfer RNA (tRNA) molecules are approximately 80 nucleotides in length. Their secondary structure includes four short double-helical elements and three loops (D, anti-codon, and T loops). The record is from RNAcentral. Lineage: Duplodnaviria; Heunggongvirae; Uroviricota; Caudoviricetes.
GGACCCUUAGCUCAGUCGGCAGAGCAGACGGCUCAUAACCGUCCGAUCGCAGGUUCGAGCCCUGCAGGGUCCA